This 253-nucleotide ribosomal RNA is filed under the name uncultured bacterium. RNAcentral's name for it is "partial 16S ribosomal RNA". It matches the Rfam family "Bacterial small subunit ribosomal RNA", at positions 524 to 776 of the family's 1533-position model. The record is from RNAcentral.
UACGGAGGGGGCUAGCGUUGUUCGGAAUUACUGGGCGUAAAGCGCGCGUAGGCGGAUCUGCAAGUCGGGGGGGAAAUCCCUCGGCUUAACCGAGGAACUGCCGUCCAAACUGCUUCGCUUGAGUCCGGGAGAGGUGAGUGGAAUUCCCAGUGUAGCGGUGAAAUGCGUAGAUAUCAAGUGGAACACCAGUGGCGAAGGCGGGUCUCUGGACAGUUCCUGACACUGAGGCACGAAGGCCAGGGGAGCAAACGGG